AGUGGCAGCAGCGGCCGUGGAGGCUGCGGGGGUCCCGGCCUCUGCGGUCUCUCUGGCCGGCCGCAGCUGUGGCGCGGGUGAAACGCCCGCCCUCCUCCUUCGGCUGCGUCUCCCGGGCGCCGGCGAGCGCGGGCGUUCCUCGCACUCAGCGCCUGGAGCCGCCUGGAGCCCCGCUGCGCGCACUUCCCCGGCUCGCGGAGCCCCUCCGGCGGCGUUUCCCACGCCGCGGACUGCAGGUGAUGCUCUUCCUCUUCUGCAGCCGAAAUUCGUCGCGAUGUGUCGCCUGCCAGAUUUUUGCUGGGCGGAAGCAUGAACAGUCUCUGCAGACUGGCCUGGACGACUUGUACUUUGUGGCCCUCCAACUUCUGGAUGUGAAUUUUUUUUCACGACUUAUUAUUAUGCUCUUCGUGGUCUUUGUGUUGAAAAUCACGGAGCUGUAUUUUUAUUUUCAAAUUCUUUCCCAAUGCUCCUCUUGUCUUGACCGUACUCUGAAGCUUAUAAGGUUCUGAGAGGAGGGGGCGAAGGGAUAGGGGAGGAGCCAGUUCCUAAUGUGUCUUACAAGUCAUCCCUAGUGAUAGGGGCUAAUACGCAAAUCACUGUCUCCUCCUCGAAAUAAUAUCCAUUUAGAUAAAUGCAAACACUGUUGAGGUUUAAUUUAUAAAGAAUGCGUCGUCUUUAUGUAAGUGUCCAGCCUCCAGGAAAAUAUCUGCUGUGGAAUAUAUUUUUAAUGCCACUAAAGUACCAAAAUACCUCCCCGAACAGCGUGAAAUUCCGAGGGAGCCAUUUCUGGUCUCUGCGGAUGUAAUUAAGAAUCUUGAGAUCAUCCUGGAUUAUUUGGGUGGGUCCUAAAUCCAAUGACAAGCAUCCUUAGAAGAGCCAUCCCGGGGAGAGACACAUGGAGGAGAAGGCCACCUGCAGGCAGAGGCAGAGACUGAGGUAUGCAGUCACAAGCCAAGGAGCGUCUGGAGCCAGCAAGAGGUGGAGAUGCAAGCAAGGAUUCUUCUGAGAGCCUUCAGAGGAAGCACAGCCCCGCCAACACCUUGAUUUUGGAUUUCUAGCCUCCAGAACUGUGAGAGAAUAAAUUUUUGUUAUUAUUAAGCCACCCAGCUUGUGGUCAUUUGUUAUGGCAGCCCUGAGAAACUAAUAUAGUGUCUAAGAAUAAAUCAUUUAUUUUCAAGACAGGGUCUCGCCCUAUCACCCAGGCUGGAGUGCAGCGGCCCAAUCACAACUCACUUGCAGCUCCUCCAGCUCCCCAGGGUCGAGUGAUCCUUCCGCCUCAGCCUCUGAGUAGCUGGGACUAUACGUGCAUGCCACCACGCCUGGCUAAUUCUAAUAUUUUUUGUAGAGAUGGCUUUUUA
RNAcentral lists this long non-coding RNA (1358 nucleotides) under Homo sapiens (human). Its description in RNAcentral is "non-protein coding lnc-F11-1:4". The record is from RNAcentral. Lineage: Eukaryota; Metazoa; Chordata; Mammalia; Primates; Hominidae.